RNAcentral lists this ribosomal RNA (880 nucleotides) under Bacillus wiedmannii. RNAcentral's name for it is "partial 23S ribosomal RNA". It matches the Rfam family "Bacterial large subunit ribosomal RNA", at positions 2050 to 2925 of the family's 2925-position model. The record is from RNAcentral. Lineage: Bacteria; Bacillati; Bacillota; Bacilli; Caryophanales; Bacillaceae.
CCUGUGAAGAUGCAGGUUACCCGCGACAGGACGGAAAGACCCCGUGGAGCUUUACUGUAGCCUGAUAUUGAAUUUUGGUACAUUUUGUACAGGAUAGGCGGGAGCCAUUGAAACCGGAGCGCUAGCUUCGGUGGAGGCGCUGGUGGGAUACCGCCCUGAAUGUAUUGAAAUUCUAACCUACGGGUCUUAUCGACCCGGGAGACAGUGUCAGGUGGGCAGUUUGACUGGGGCGGUCGCCUCCUAAAGUGUAACGGAGGCGCCCAAAGGUUCCCUCAGAAUGGUUGGAAAUCAUUCGUAGAGUGCAAAGGCAUAAGGGAGCUUGACUGCGAGACCUACAAGUCGAGCAGGGACGAAAGUCGGGCUUAGUGAUCCGGUGGUUCCGCAUGGAAGGGCCAUCGCUCAACGGAUAAAAGCUACCCCGGGGAUAACAGGCUUAUCUCCCCCAAGAGUCCACAUCGACGGGGAGGUUUGGCACCUCGAUGUCGGCUCAUCGCAUCCUGGGGCUGUAGUCGGUCCCAAGGGUUGGGCUGUUCGCCCAUUAAAGCGGUACGCGAGCUGGGUUCAGAACGUCGUGAGACAGUUCGGUCCCUAUCCGUCGUGGGCGUAGGAAAUUUGAGAGGAGCUGUCCUUAGUACGAGAGGACCGGGAUGGACGCACCGCUGGUGUACCAGUUGUUCUGCCAAGGGCAUAGCUGGGUAGCUAUGUGCGGAAGGGAUAAGUGCUGAAAGCAUCUAAGCAUGAAGCCCCCCUCAAGAUGAGAUUUCCCAUAGCGUAAGCUAGUAAGAUCCCUGAAAGAUGAUCAGGUUGAUAGGUUCGAGGUGGAAGCAUGGUGACAUGUGGAGCUGACGAAUACUAAUAGAUCGAGGACUUAACCAUAUAA